GGGCCCUUAGUUUAUCGGUAGAACACCUCGUUUGCACCGAGGAGAGAGCGGUUCAAUUCCGCUAGGGUCCA
RNAcentral lists this transfer RNA (71 nucleotides) under Candidatus Microgenomates bacterium. RNAcentral describes it as "tRNA-Ala". It matches the Rfam family "tRNA". From Rfam's summary of the family: Transfer RNA (tRNA) molecules are approximately 80 nucleotides in length. Their secondary structure includes four short double-helical elements and three loops (D, anti-codon, and T loops). The record is from RNAcentral. Lineage: Bacteria; Candidatus Microgenomatota.